CUGCAGUGAUGAUUAUUUAGGACACCUUUGAUUCUCCAUGAAGAGAAACUUAAUAUCUGAGCUUU
This is a small nucleolar RNA of Pseudoliparis swirei, 65 nucleotides long. RefSeq annotates it as small nucleolar RNA SNORD58. The transcript has a single exon. The record is from RefSeq and is a predicted model, not a curated record. Lineage: Eukaryota; Metazoa; Chordata; Actinopteri; Perciformes; Liparidae.